This 612-nucleotide ribosomal RNA is filed under the name Lamprochernes savignyi. RNAcentral describes it as "partial large subunit ribosomal RNA". It matches the Rfam family "Eukaryotic large subunit ribosomal RNA", at positions 774 to 1373 of the family's 3401-position model. The record is from RNAcentral. Lineage: Eukaryota; Metazoa; Arthropoda; Arachnida; Pseudoscorpiones; Chernetidae.
CGGCGCGCCGGAAGGACGGAGCAAGAGCGCGCGCUUUGAGACCCGAAAGAUGGUGAACUAUGCCUGGGCAGGACGAAGCCAGAGGAAACUCUGGUGGAGGUCCGAAGCGGUUCUGACGUGCAAAUCGAUCGUCAGACCUGGGUAUAGGGGCGAAAGACUAAUCGAACCAUCUAGUAGCUGGUUCCCUCCGAAGUUUCCCUCAGGAUAGCUGGUGCUCGCGGUUUUCGGCCGCAUCCGGUAAAGCGAAUGAUUAGAGGCCUUGGGGUCGAAACGACCUCAACCUAUUCUCAAACUUUAAAUGGGUGCGAUGUCUGUCUUGCUUGAUUGAAGACACGACGCCCAGGGCGUGAGUACCAUGUGGGCCACUUUUGGUAAGCAGAACUGGCGAUGCGGGAUGAACCGAACGCCGGGUUACGGCGCCCGAUGCCUGACGCUAAUGAGAGCCCAUAAAAGGUGUUGGUUGCUAUAGACAGCAGGACGGUGGCCAUGGAAGUCGGAAUCCGCUAAGGAGUGUGUAACAACUCACCUGCCGAAGCAACUAGCCCUGAAAAUGGAUGGCGCUUCAGCGUCGAGCCCAUACCCGGCCCUUGGGGUAGAAUUGGAACGUAUGCC